AUAUAUUUCAUGUAGACAAGGUAUAUAAAUUCAGGUUUAAUUUUCUAUCUCAUUUAGGAAUGAGAUAAUACAGACUUCUCUUAUAUGUUGGAUUAUUGCCCAACUCUUGUUCAUCUGGUUCCGGCAUCCUGUUUCCAAGAAGGAAAUCACCUUGACUCAAUAUGAUUCAGAACUUGCCUGAAAAAUCCAACACAAUGCAGAAAGAUGUGGAGAAACAUUUCUGAUGCCCUGCUAGUAUCCAGAGUGCUGAAAUCCCAGGCAAGCUUGGUACUUGUCAGACGUGAAGAACAGAAAACCAGUUGAGAAUUUCAAUGAUCAGUAAGAGAACUGGACAGCCACUCUCCACAACUCAGCAAUGGACAAUUUUCAGAGAAAGAAACCACAAUGGACCUACUGUCAAAUACACACAAUUCAUGGACCAAAUUUAUGUCUCCUUUCUUAUGAUCGCAAACUGGCCUGAAAACUUAAGCAGGGAUCUUGUAUCUCUUUCCCAUAAGGAUACAGCCAAGUGAUGGAAAGAAAGAAGAAAAUACCUUUAAAGUCCUCCUUUCUGGAUCUCAUCUAAUCCCUUCUUAUCCUUUUAGUAAUAAAAACAACCUCACAGCAAGUGAAAUUUCUAUA
Molecule: long non-coding RNA, 621 nt
Filed under: Vulpes vulpes (red fox)
Lineage: Eukaryota; Metazoa; Chordata; Mammalia; Carnivora; Canidae
Description: lncRNA (ENSVVUG00000016396.1)
Source: RNAcentral